GGCAGGGCCUGUCCCGCCUGGGGAGACUGCGCCCGGGAUAAUAGGAGCGCUUGGCCUCUGAGACUACCCGGCAGAAGGGACGUCCCCAAAUGACACUCGGAGGCCGCCUCCCUGGGCUCCGGUGCUCGGUGCCGGGAGGAGCGGCACGGCUUUCUACCCCGCCUCAGGUGCGCCAGCACGUUUUCUGGGCAGCAUCUGUGUGUUAGGCGACCGGAGAGGUGGGUUCCUUAUAGGGAAUAAGAAAACUGAAACUGACUUCCAACUGCAGGCAGAAGGAAGCAGUGGUCAUUGCUGGAGGUUAAAACUGUUCUGACCGGGCGCAGUGGCUCACGCCUGUAAUCCCAGCACUUUGGGAGGCUGAGGCGAGCAGAUCACGAAGUCAGGAGAUCAAGACCAUCCUGGCCAACAAGGUGAAACCCCGGCUCUACUAAAAAUACAAAAAUUAGCUGGGCGUGGUGGCGCGCGCCGGAAGUCCCAGCUACUUGGGAGGAUGAGGCAGAAGAAUCGCUUGAACCCGGGAGGCGGAGGUUGCGGUGAGCCGAGAUCGCGCCAUUGCACUCCAGCCUGGCGACUCAGCGAUACUCCGUCCCCCUCCCCCCGCCCCAAGAAAAAUCUGUUCUGUGGGGAGCGACAAGGAAGGAGCUUUCAGCCCGACGGGGGUCGCAGGGAAGAAUUCAAGAUGGCGUGUUUAGGAGCUCUAGCUCCUUGACAAAUUAGUAAAAUGUUCGUCUUAGGAGAAGAACGAAAAGGCUCUCCUAGGCUAAGAAACAGCAUACACAGUGAGAAACCUCAGAAGAAAUAAAAUUCAAGGAAGAUAGCAACAACGAAAACAUCAGAAGGAACACUAAAGUAGUCAAAUCAGCUUAGCAGAAACAAACUAAGUACGUUAACCAAUGGAAAACUGACGGAGAGAAAUAAACUGUUUUUGCACGCUAAAUGGAAAUGACUUUUGAAUUAUCUGCUUUGGAAGAUUAUCCAUGACACUGUUCUGCCCUGCUCUGCUCUAACAACAUUUAGGUACGAAGUAGAGAUGAGACUUCAUCAACAUCUCGAAGGUUUUUUGUAGAACAACGUACCAAAUUAGGAAGAAUCUCAUGAGCUUUUCUGCAAGCUAUUUCAUAACCUUCUAUGACCUCUGAAACUGACAGGCCAAUCCUCAGAAGUUCUUCAGCUAAUUCCAGGAGAGCUCCAGCAAAUACCAGAACAAAAUUUGUGCCAUCUCCAACUUCUUGCUCUUGCAUAUCAGAAGCCAUUACAGUCAUUUUUGCAGCAGGAUGCUGUACUUCUAGUUCUCUUAAAAUAGUCGCUGCAUCAUUUGUCACAAACAACUUCUCCAAGUGGUUGAUAACCAUUUUUUUCAUUCCAUUUCGUCCAUAUGCUGUACGAGUGGUUUGGGCAAGCUCCUUGCAAGCUUGUAUGUUUCUAUACACAGCCUCUUCUAAUUCUGAAAAGUGUUUCGCUCCCUCCUUGAGCAUCUGGGCGAAGCCCGGAGCCUUGGGAACUUGAAGCGCCAUGGCCAGCCUGCAGGAAGCCGUUCACGUGACCUCUCAGAAGACCGCGGAGGAAGCAAAGGUUUUCAUGCCUGAUGAACCUGGAGAUACAUUCAGUCACUCUUCCAUC
This 1620-nucleotide long non-coding RNA is filed under the name Pan troglodytes (chimpanzee). RNAcentral's name for it is "long non-coding RNA NONPTRT001204". The record is from RNAcentral. Lineage: Eukaryota; Metazoa; Chordata; Mammalia; Primates; Hominidae.